AACCCGUGAUGAGAACACUUUCUUAAAAGAUCCUUAAAUCUCUUUCAUGUGUCAUAUAGUGUCUCAAGCUCAAAUUAAGAAAACUAAGAGAUGUCAUUCCUCAGCUU
RNAcentral lists this small nucleolar RNA (107 nucleotides) under Gossypium hirsutum (cotton). RNAcentral's name for it is "Plant small nucleolar RNA R71". It matches the Rfam family "Plant small nucleolar RNA R71". From Rfam's summary of the family: R71 is a member of the C/D box family of snoRNAs containing the C (UGAUGA) and D (CUGA) box motifs. Multiple nearly identical copies of this snoRNA have been identified in Arabidopsis, and it is thought to function as a 2'-O-ribose methylation guide for 18S ribosomal RNA. The record is from Rfam by way of RNAcentral. Lineage: Eukaryota; Viridiplantae; Streptophyta; Magnoliopsida; Malvales; Malvaceae.